UAGGGACCUAGCGUUGUCCGGAAUCAUUGGGCGUAAAGCGCGCGUAGGCGGCCCGGUAAGUCCGUUGUAAAAGUCAAAGGCUCAACCUUUGAAAGCCGAUGGAUACUGCCGGGCUAGAGUACGGAAGAGGCGAGUAGAAUUCCUGGUGUAGCGGUGGAAUGCGCAGAUAUCAGGAGGAAUACCCAUAGCGAAGGCAGCUCGCUGGGACGUUACUGACGCUGAGGCGCGAAAGCGUGGGGAGCGAACAGG
This 249-nucleotide ribosomal RNA is filed under the name uncultured bacterium. RNAcentral's name for it is "partial 16S ribosomal RNA". It matches the Rfam family "Bacterial small subunit ribosomal RNA", at positions 528 to 776 of the family's 1533-position model. The record is from RNAcentral.